This 337-nucleotide ribosomal RNA is filed under the name Anaretella iola. RNAcentral describes it as "partial 16S ribosomal RNA". Lineage: Eukaryota; Metazoa; Arthropoda; Insecta; Diptera; Cecidomyiidae. The record is from RNAcentral.
UUUUUUAAUUGAAAACUGGUAUGAAGGGUUGGACGAAAGAUAGACUAUUUUAAUAAAAUUUUUUGAAUUUUAUAUUUUAGUUAAAAAGCUAAAAUAAUUUUAAAAGACGAGAAGACCCUAUAGAGUUUUAUAAAAAUUAAAAAGAUAUUUUUUAUAAAUUUAAUUUUUUUUUUUAUAUUUUUAUUUUGUUGGGGUGAUAAUAAAAUUUAAUUAACUUUUAUUAAUACAUACAUAAAUUAAUGAUUUUUUGAUCUUUAUUUAAUGAUUAAAAAAUUAAAUUACCUUAGGGAUAACAGCAUAAUUUUUUUUUAAAGUUCUUAUUAAAAAAAAAGAUUAU